Molecule: ribosomal RNA, 588 nt
Filed under: uncultured Geobacillus sp.
Lineage: Bacteria; Bacillati; Bacillota; Bacilli; Caryophanales; Anoxybacillaceae
Description: bacterial SSU rRNA
Rfam family: Bacterial small subunit ribosomal RNA
Source: RNAcentral
CCUACGGGAGGCAGCAGUAGGGAAUCUUCCGCAAUGGGCGAAAGCCUGACGGAGCGACGCCGCGUGAGCGAAGAAGGCCUUCGGGUCGUAAAGCUCUGUUGUGAGGGACGAAGGAGCGCCGUUUGAAGAAGGCGGCGCGGUGACGGUACCUCACGAGAAAGCCCCGGCUAACUACGUGCCAGCAGCCGCGGUAAUACGUAGGGGGCGAGCGUUGUCCGGAAUUAUUGGGCGUAAAGCGCGCGCAGGCGGUCUCUUAAGUCUGAUGUGAAAGCCCACGGCUCAACCGUGGAGGGUCAUUGGAAACUGGGGGACUUGAGGGCAGGAGAGGAGAGCGGAAUUCCACGUGUAGCGGUGAAAUGCGUAGAGAUGUGGAGGAACACCAGUGGCGAAGGCGGCUCUCUGGCCUGCACCUGACGCUGAGGCGCGAAAGCGUGGGGAGCAAACAGGAUUAGAUACCCUGGUAGUCCACGCCGUAAACGAUGAGUGCUAAGUGUUAGAGGGGUCACACCCUUUAGUGCUGCAGCUAACGCAUUAAGCUUCCCGCCUGGGGAGUACGGUCGCAAGAUUAAAACUCAAAGGAAUUGACGG